UCGGGAAAAUUUUGCAAUGCGCGCAAGCGUGACAGAGCAAGCCAGAGUGCUUCUCUAUAAUUGAGAAGCUUUUGCGGGAUGUAAACAGUCCCGUGAAUAAGGACCGGGCAAGACUGGUGCCAGCCGCCGCGGUAAUCCCAGCGGUCCAAGUCGCAGCCACAAUUAUUGGGUCUAAAACAUCCGUAGCUUGCUUCGUAAGUCUCUUGUGAAAUCUGGCUUCUUAAGAGUCGGGCGUGCAAGAGAUACUGCGAGGCUAGAGACCGGGAGGCGUAAUGAGUACGUACGGGGUAGCGGUAAAAUGCGUUGAUCCUGUACGGACUAACAACCGCGAAGGCACGUUACGAGAACGGAUCUGACAGUGAGGGAUGAAGGCUAGGGGCGCAAAGUGG
RNAcentral lists this ribosomal RNA (389 nucleotides) under uncultured euryarchaeote. RNAcentral's name for it is "bacterial SSU rRNA". It matches the Rfam family "Archaeal small subunit ribosomal RNA", at positions 339 to 727 of the family's 1478-position model. The record is from RNAcentral. Lineage: Archaea; Methanobacteriati; Methanobacteriota.